Non-coding RNA from Gossypium hirsutum (cotton), 132 nucleotides. NCBI's taxonomy places the organism in Eukaryota, Viridiplantae, Streptophyta, Magnoliopsida, Malvales, Malvaceae. The record is from Rfam.
UGUAAAAAUUUAAUUCAUUCGUAUUAUUAAAAACUGGCAUAGCUAAUUGAAGAAUAUGCUAGUGACACAUGUACCUCAUGUAGAUGUAUAGUGACAAAUUCUUAACAGCAGAAAUUGAUGAAAUUUUUAACA